GAGCAUGUGGUUUAAUUCGAAGCAACGCGAAGAACCUUACCAAAUCUUGACAUCCCACUGACAAAGUAUGUAAUGUACUCUUCCUUCGGGACAGUGGAGACAGGUGGUGCAUGGUUGUCGUCAGCUCGUGUCGUGAGAUGUUGGGUUAAGUCCCGCAACGAGCGCAACCCUUAUCUUUAGUAGCCAGCAUUUUGGAUGGGCACUCUAGAGAGACUGCCCGGGUGAACCGGGAGGAAGGUGGGGAUGACGUCAAAUCAUCAUGCCCCUUAUGAUUUGGGCUACACACGUGCUACAAUGGCGUAAACAAAGGGAAGCAAUUGGGUGACCAUGAGCAAAUCUCAAAAAUAACGUCUCAGUUCGGAUUGUAGUCUGCAACUCGACUACAUGAAGCUGGAAUCGCUAGUAAUCGCGAAUCAGAAUGUCGCGGUGAAUACGUUCCCGGGUCUUGUACACACCGCCCGUCACACCAUGGAAGUUGGGGGCGCCCAAAGUUGGCUAAUAAAUCUGCUACCUAAGGCGAAACCAAUGACUGGGGUG
This 537-nucleotide ribosomal RNA is filed under the name uncultured bacterium. Its description in RNAcentral is "bacterial SSU rRNA". It matches the Rfam family "Bacterial small subunit ribosomal RNA", at positions 935 to 1482 of the family's 1533-position model. The record is from RNAcentral.